This 19-nucleotide small nuclear RNA is filed under the name Arabidopsis thaliana (thale cress). Its description in RNAcentral is "snRNA_13867". Lineage: Eukaryota; Viridiplantae; Streptophyta; Magnoliopsida; Brassicales; Brassicaceae. The record is from RNAcentral.
CUUUGCAGACGACUUAAAU